RNAcentral lists this ribosomal RNA (428 nucleotides) under uncultured bacterium. RNAcentral's name for it is "bacterial SSU rRNA". It matches the Rfam family "Bacterial small subunit ribosomal RNA", at positions 340 to 761 of the family's 1533-position model. The record is from RNAcentral.
UACGGAAGGCAGCAGUGGGGAAGUAUUGCACAAUGGGCGCAAGCCUGAUGCAGCCAUGCCGCGUGUAUGAAGAAGGCCUUCGGGUUGUAAAGUACUUUCAGUCGUGAGGAAGGUGUUAAGGUUAAUAACCUUAGCAAUUGACGUUAGCGACAGAAGAAGCACCGGCUAACUCCGUGCCAGCAGCCGCGGUAAUACGGAGGGUGCGAGCGUUAAUCGGAAUUACUGGGCGUAAAGGGCACGCAGGCGGUUAAUUAAGUUGGAUGUGAAAUCCCCGGGCUUAACCUGGGAAUGGCAUUCAAGACUGGUUAGCUAGAGUCUUGUAGAGGGGGUAGAAUUCCAUGUGUAGCGGUGAAAUGCGUAGAGAUGUGGAGGAAUACCGGUGGCGAAGGCGGCCCCUGGACAAAGACUGACGCUCAUGUGCGAAAGCU